RNAcentral lists this ribosomal RNA (468 nucleotides) under uncultured bacterium. RNAcentral describes it as "partial 16S ribosomal RNA". It matches the Rfam family "Bacterial small subunit ribosomal RNA", at positions 28 to 507 of the family's 1533-position model. The record is from RNAcentral.
GACGAACGCUGGCGGCGUGCUUAACACAUGCAAGUCGAACGGAAAGGCCCUGCUUUUGUGGGGUGCUCGAGUGGCGAACGGGUGAGUAACACGUGAGUAACCUGCCCUUGACUUUGGGAUAACUUCAGGAAACUGGGGCUAAUACCGGAUAGGAGCUCCUGCUGCAUGGUGGGGGUUGGAAAGAUUCGGCGGUUGGGGAUGGACUCGCGGCUUAUCAGCUUGUUGGUGGGGUAGUGGCUUACCAAGGCUUUGACGGGUAGCCGGCCUGAGAGGGUGACCGGCCACAUUGGGACUGAGAUACGGCCCAUACUCCUACGGGAGGCAGCAGUGGGGAAUAUUGCACAAUGGGCGGAAGCCUGAUGCAGCAACGCCGCGUGCGGGAUGACGGCCUUCGGGUUGUAAACCGCUUUCGCCUGUGACGAAGCGUGAGUGACGGUAAUGGGUAAAGAAGCACCGGCUAACUACGUG